AUUGGACCUCACCACCGGACUCUAGUGGCUGCGCGAGCGUUUCUCUUUUCUCUCAGCGCCGCGGACGAGAUUUGUGGCGCCAGAAACACCCUGCGGAAGGAGCCGGGGAUAUCGACUCGUGAUAGAGAAGACGAAACUGAGGCCACGGGCGGGUCCUGCGUUAUUUUUGCCUGAGAAACGUGGACUGGGAACAAAAUCAAGGAGUGGAAGAGUCAGAACCUUGUAACUCAGUGAAGGAGACACCAAACUAGGUAGAUGCAAGUGCCAUGAGGACAGGGACAGACGUUUCAGCUGACCUGGUGCCACUGCGCACCACCUUAAGCCUAAGAAGCUGCAGAGAAGAUGGGAGAACGGGGGUGAGCUCAAAGCUUUGCCCUUUGCCGCUCGGUUCACGUGUAAUGGCACUGUUGCUGCUGCUCAUCAUCAAAGCUAAAAUACAGAAUCAUUUCUUGAAGCAACGUCAACUGGAAUAUCCCAUUACUGAUGACUGGUCAUAAAAUCCUUGUCUCCUCAGUGAGGUACACUUAUUUCAGCUAUAGAAUGAUUAAUUUGUAUACAUAUAUAUAUAAAAUCUAGAAGAUUAGCUUUACUUGUAUUUCAUUAUUUUAAAUUUAGUAACAUUGUUUCAUCUUUUUUAUAAUGUCUUCUAUUUAUGGCAGUUAAAUGCUAUUCAUUUUUAGAUAUUGCAAUAAGGUAUUUUUCAAAAUUUUUAUCUAAAUAAGAGUCAAUUUAAAGAAAAAAGUAAAUGAUAGUACAGGUAUAUGCAUAUAUGACAAAAACUGUGAAGUGCUAUUCAAAGAAGUCCAAUUAGUCUCUAGUGGAAUAGGGAUCGCCUAUCAAGAUGUGGCUUAGCCUCAGUGAAAUAAAGCCAGGGGUCAACCAAUGAGCUCCAUCACUCCCUGACACUGUCUGCAAAUAUUAUACAGGUGUUUUUUUCUCAGGAAAGGAUCAAACUUUCCCUCAAAUUCUUAAAGGAAUCUGUGACCCAAAUGUGAUCACUCACAAACUACUACUGUGAUUCAGUUCUUUUUGCUCCAAUUCCAUUGCUCACUAAGGAAUCUUCUGUUUCCUAAUUUACUAAUAACACUGAUUACUAAUUUGCCAGGUCCCUUGACUAAAGUAAGGCAGUGUUCUGGAUACAAGAUUCAAAAGGUCCGGCUAUUGGAAAUACAGACCUCACUUAAAGUGAGUAAAUUGACAUCUGGUUUUCAAAUUAAUCUCUUA
Long non-coding RNA from Balaenoptera acutorostrata (minke whale), 1224 nucleotides. RefSeq lists it as uncharacterized. The transcript has 3 exons. The record is from RefSeq and is a predicted model, not a curated record. Lineage: Eukaryota; Metazoa; Chordata; Mammalia; Artiodactyla; Balaenopteridae.